UUACGGCUAUAUCACGUUGAGAGAGACACAGGUUCCUGUAGAAUCACCGAAGUUAAGCAACGUCGAGCCUGGUCAGUACCGAGAUAUGAGACCGCUUGGGAAUACCAGAUGACGUU
Non-coding RNA from Acanthosepion pharaonis, 116 nucleotides. The record is from the annotation of a GenBank genome assembly. Lineage: Eukaryota; Metazoa; Mollusca; Cephalopoda; Sepiida; Sepiidae.